Molecule: ribosomal RNA, 766 nt
Filed under: uncultured bacterium
Lineage: Bacteria
Description: bacterial SSU rRNA
Rfam family: Bacterial small subunit ribosomal RNA
Source: RNAcentral
GAGUCUGAUCCUGGCUCAGGACGAACGCUGGCGGCGCGCCUAAUGCAUGCAAGUCGAACGAGCGGACCCCUUCGGGGGCGAGUUAGUGGCAGACGGCUGAGUAACGCGUAAGCAACCUACCCACUGGCGGGGGACAACCCGGAAAAAUCCGAGCUAAUACCGCAUGUGGUUGCCUGCCGAUAGCGGGUAACCAAAGGCUUCGGCCACCAGUGGAUGGGCUUGCGUCCCAUCAGGUAGUUGGUGAGGUAACGGCCCACCAAGCCAUCGACGGGUAGCCGGUGUGAGAGCACGACCGGCCAGAGGGGGACUGAGACACGGCCCCCACUCCUACGGGAGGCAGCAGCAGGGAAUCUUGCGCAAUGGGCGAAAGCCUGACGCAGCGACGCCGCGUGAGGGAAGAAGGCCUGCGGGUCGUAAACCUCUUUUCUCGGGGAAGAUAAUGACGGUACCCGAGGAAUAAGCCUCGGCUAACUACGUGCCAGCAGCCGCGGUAAUACGUAGGAGGCUAGCGUUGUCCGGAUUCAUUGGGCGUAAAGGGAGCGCAGGUGGCUGAGUUAGUCCGUGGUGCAAUCUCCAGGCUCAACUUGGAGAGGUCUACGGAUACUGCUUAGCUUGAGGACGGUAGAGGAGCACGGAAUUCCUGGUGUAGUGGUGAAAUGCGUAGAUAUCAGGAGGAACACCCGUGGCGAAAGCGGUGCUUUGGGCCGAUCCUGACACUCAGGCUCGAAAGCGUGGGGAGCAAACCGGAUUAGAUACCCUGGUAGUC